GGCAUGAACGUGUGUGCACAUUCCGUACUCCAGCCGAUCCCAAACCACAGCCUAGAAGGCGCACCCUGGAGGUGGCAUCGCCCUCUUUUAUAGCUGAGGAGACAGAGAGGAGAUUGUGCAAAAGUUGAGCCUCUGAGCACCUGCAAUUUGAGGUUUUGAGCUUGAAGUCUUUUCUUCCUUUUUCAAAAAUCCAAUGAGCCUGUCUCCUUUCUCAUAGAAAUCCGCCUGGCUCAGGCGUCCAGUGGCCUUCCCACAGAGAAGUUGGGGACAAGGGAGGACACUGCACAGGUCAGGCUUGAUUGGGCACAUCUGACUGGAACCAUUUCCACGUGAAGAGUUGGCAAAAUAAAUAACUAAAACGCUACCGUACUCUAACAAACAGGUGCUUUAUGGAGAGGAAAGGAAAGAUUGCGUGACUAUCAGGAUAGAACAAGAGACAUGGUGGCGAUUUGCCUCGAGGAACCGCUACACCGUUUUCCAAAGGGGCCUCACCAUUUCACCCUCCCACCGGCAGCGCAUCAGCAUUUCCUCCUUGAGAGGAAAUGUAUUGCAAAGCACGGGAUCAAGGCAAGAAGAACAUCCACUUAGGAAAAGGUGUCGUCAAAGCUUGUUCACAUUUAAGAACAAAACCGUGGCCUGCAUACGAUUAUUUUUUUAAA
Long non-coding RNA from Nyctereutes procyonoides (raccoon dog), 659 nucleotides. RefSeq lists it as uncharacterized. The record is from RefSeq and is a predicted model, not a curated record. The transcript is spliced from 3 exons. NCBI's taxonomy places the organism in Eukaryota, Metazoa, Chordata, Mammalia, Carnivora, Canidae.